GAUGAACGCUGGCGGCGUGCCUAAUACAUGCAAGUCGAGCGAACAGACGAGGAGCUUGCUCCUCUGACGUUAGCGGAGGACGGGUGAGUAACACGUGGAUACCCUACCUAUAAGACUGGGAUAACUUCGGGAAACCGGCGCUAAUACCGGAUAAUAUCUUGCACCGCAUGGUUCAAUAGUGAAAGACGGUUUUGCUGUCACUUCUCGAUGGAUCCGCGCCGCAUUAGCUAGUUGGUAAGGUAACGGCUUACCAAGGCAACGAUGCGUAGCCGACCUGAGAGGGUGAUCGGCCACACUGGAACUGAGACACGGUCCAGACUCCUACGGGAGGCAGCAGUAGGGAAUCUUCCGCAAUGGGCGAAAGCUUGACGGAGCAACGCCGCGUGAGUGAUGAAGGUCUUCGGAUCGUAAAACUCUGUUAUUAGGGAAGAACAAAUGUGUAAGUAACUAUGCACGUCUUGACGGUACCUAAUCAGAAAGCCACGGCUAACUACGUG
This 497-nucleotide ribosomal RNA is filed under the name uncultured bacterium. Its description in RNAcentral is "partial 16S ribosomal RNA". It matches the Rfam family "Bacterial small subunit ribosomal RNA", at positions 28 to 507 of the family's 1533-position model. The record is from RNAcentral.